Episyrphus balteatus (marmalade hoverfly) is the source of this 1518-nucleotide long non-coding RNA. RefSeq lists it as uncharacterized. The transcript is spliced from 2 exons. Lineage: Eukaryota; Metazoa; Arthropoda; Insecta; Diptera; Syrphidae. The record is from RefSeq and is a predicted model, not a curated record.
GUUGUUCGCUAUUGAAGCUGCUAUAAAGCUCAAACUCAAAUGCUUUUGAAAAACCGAACACCUUCGUUCGUUCGUUCGUUAGAGUGAAAAUAAUCACUUUAAUUAAAUUUUCCCAAUUUCGAACAAAAACCCACAAGGGUCAUUAUUUUUCCUCAUCUAGACCAGUAUAAUGAGCUGUUAUAUUAGCAACUUAUGAAGUUUUUAAUUGAUAUGGAAAGUUUCUGCGAACACAACUUUCUGAUGUUGAAGGAUCCUUUAAGCCAGGGAAUAGUUUCAUAAUAUUGUUUUAAUAGAAAUAAAGGAUCCCCUAAAAAAACAAGAACGAAGAAAAAAAAAACAAAAUAAUAAUCAACACAAGGUUCUUAAAUUAAAAAUCAAAAGAAAUCCCGCCCUUAAAAUCACAACAACGACAACAUAAUAAGAAAUAAAAACUUUUUGUCGGGGCGUUAAUUACACGCACACCAACACACUCACACACAUAUACCUUCAGUAGUCUUUCAUUAAAAAAAAAAAAAAAAUAAACCAAGUGUAAUUCAAAAAGGACGACAACGAGAAAAAUUAUGCAAAUUCUUGGGAAAAAAGGAAAAAUCCUUUCGUCCAAAGAUGAGACUGGCGCCCAAUGCGAGGGAAUGAGUAUACCUCCACAAAUAAAUUUCAUUAAAAUCAAAAGAAAUCACAAAGAACAAGCGCUCACACAAAAUGCAAAGAGAAUGGGAAAAGAAACUCAUUUAGACAAUCCUCUUAAAAAAUAAUAUUUGUUUUAUUUGUUUUAGACUUUUUUUCUUUUUGUAUAUUUUGCUGUUUCUUGCAAUGACGACCGUGAGACCGGAAAAAACGGUCCCCUUCCACCAAAGACGAGACUAUACAAAACCAAACGUCAACUAGAAGCAAUAUGCUCGAGGUAUUGUUUUGUCCCCAAAAAUAAAAACUUGUGCCCAUCAUCGCAACUCUCUGGGUGGACGGACGUCUGUGUUGUUCGGAAGGACCAUUCCUGAGACGUUAACUCGGGCAAGUGGAAGAGAGAGACCACCAUCGACCCCCUCCUCUUUAAAUGAACUAAAAAUUACGUUUCUGAGAUUAUGCAAAUGGUAUGGAAAUUUUGAAAAGUAUUUUCCAAAAACUGGAUGAAAUCGAAAAAAGUUCUUAAAUCAAGUUUUUUUUUUGCUGUUGUUGUGUUGGCUUGUUUUUUUUGUUUAAAUAAAAGAUCCCAAUUCCCACCCACUGGGCCAUCUUCUAAGAUAACCAUCAACAUCAUCGGUCUGUUACCUUUGUGUGUGACAAAUUUUGAUUGACAAAUCAAAGCGAAUAUCCUUAUCAUCGGGAUGGCUCACACCAUCAUUUCUUCCGGUGCUGUGCUAAUAUGCUGCCAAUGAAGAGACAACGGAUUCGGAAAAAAGAUUUAAUUAAAAGAGCCAACCCUUAUUCGGAAGCUAAGGCUCUGCGAGUUGUGAUGGCAAACAAGACCCCAUUUUUCUAAAAGUUUCCGAACCGGAACGGAUUUAGAGUGCCGCAGGUACG